GAGGGAACUUCCUUCCACUUCUUUUUUCGGUUAAACAUGACAUUUACGGGACAGGACGACAACUUAUUGCGACCAAGUUCCAGUUCUUGGAGAGAGGAUUAAAUCCCGCGAUGAGACUUACAAUAAACCGGCAGCAGCGAGUACCAUUAUUGUAGCGGGACAUUUUCCAGCCAGAGGAGCCGCUUCAGUCCCGAUCGAACGGACAAAAUUAAAGGCAGUGGUAUUCCAGUGAGUUGAAGGACUGGGAAAGUAAACGGAAGAAGCUCCAUAUAAAGAGUGUUUGGGUCUCAACGAUGCUGACUCGGACCUCUACGUCUUGGAGCACCUAUAGGACUUGCUGAACCUAUAGGAAGACGAGAACCAGGAGUUGAGCCACCUGCCACCAUCAGGCUAUCACCACCUUACACUGGGCCACCUCCACUCAAAACAACAUCAUCAGCUCAAUCUUCCUGCUAACCCUCACCAAACCCUGCCCAGCAUCCCAUUGUGCCAACUGCAGCAUCGCAACAUGAGCAGUUGUUGCCAUUAAAGCCCCCAGGAGAGUGUAGUGCGAACAGCCACACAGGGAGUAUUGACCGUGGGCGGAGCUUGUCUUUUCAUGAGGUGCGCGGCCAGCAUGAUGCAGAGAUGAGGGCCGCAGUCGAGGAGUCGUCCAACAGCAGCAACAGUGUAGGGG
Chelmon rostratus (copperband butterflyfish) is the source of this 676-nucleotide long non-coding RNA. RefSeq lists it as uncharacterized. The record is from RefSeq and is a predicted model, not a curated record. NCBI's taxonomy places the organism in Eukaryota, Metazoa, Chordata, Actinopteri, Chaetodontiformes, Chaetodontidae. The transcript is spliced from 3 exons.